UACACUCCUGCGGGAGGCAGCAGUGAGGAAUAUUGGACAAUGGGUGGAAGCCUGAUCCAGCCAUCCCGCGUGCAGGAAGACGGCCCUAUGGGUUGUAAACUGCUUUUAUCUGGGGAUAAACCUACUUACGUGUAAGUAGCUGAAGGUACCAGAAGAAUAAGCACCGGCUAACUCCGUGCCAGCAGCCGCGGUAAUACGGAGGGUGCAAGCGUUAUCCGGAUUUAUUGGGUUUAAAGGGUCCGUAGGCGGACUGAUAAGUCAGUGGUGAAAUCCGACAGCUUAACUGUCGAACUGCCAUUGAUACUGUUAGUCUUGAGUAAGGUUGAAGUGGCUGGAAUAAGUAGUGUAGCGGUGAAAUGCAUAGAUAUUACUUAGAACACCAAUUGCGAAGGCAGGUCACUAAGUCUUAACUGACGCUGAUGGACGAAAGCGUGGGGAGCGAACAGGAUUAGAAACCCUUGUAGUCCCAUGA
Molecule: ribosomal RNA, 472 nt
Filed under: uncultured organism
Description: partial 16S ribosomal RNA
Rfam family: Bacterial small subunit ribosomal RNA
Source: RNAcentral